Molecule: ribosomal RNA, 2194 nt
Filed under: Escherichia coli
Lineage: Bacteria; Pseudomonadati; Pseudomonadota; Gammaproteobacteria; Enterobacterales; Enterobacteriaceae
Description: partial 23S ribosomal RNA
Rfam family: Bacterial large subunit ribosomal RNA
Source: RNAcentral
GGACCGAACCGACUAAUGUUGAAAAAUUAGCGGAUGACUUGUGGCUGGGGGUGAAAGGCCAAUCAAACCGGGAGAUAGCUGGUUCUCCCCGAAAGCUAUUUAGGUAGCGCCUCGUGAAUUCAUCUCCGGGGGUAGAGCACUGUUUCGGCAAGGGGGUCAUCCCGACUUACCAACCCGAUGCAAACUGCGAAUACCGGAGAAUGUUAUCACGGGAGACACACGGCGGGUGCUAACGUCCGUCGUGAAGAGGGAAACAACCCAGACCGCCAGCUAAGGUCCCAAAGUCAUGGUUAAGUGGGAAACGAUGUGGGAAGGCCCAGACAGCCAGGAUGUUGGCUUAGAAGCAGCCAUCAUUUAAAGAAAGCGUAAUAGCUCACUGGUCGAGUCGGCCUGCGCGGAAGAUGUAACGGGGCUAAACCAUGCACCGAAGCUGCGGCAGCGACACUGUGUGUUGUUGGGUAGGGGAGCGUUCUGUAAGCCUGUGAAGGUGUGCUGUGAGGUAUGCUGGAGGUAUCAGAAGUGCGAAUGCUGACAUAAGUAACGAUAAAGCGGGUGAAAAGCCCGCUCGCCGGAAGACCAAGGGUUCCUGUCCAACGUUAAUCGGGGCAGGGUGAGUCGACCCCUAAGGCGAGGCCGAAAGGCGUAGUCGAUGGGAAACAGGUUAAUAUUCCUGUACUUGGUGUUACUGCGAAGGGGGGACGGAGAAGGCUAUGUUGGCCGGGCGACGGUUGUCCCGGUUUAAGCGUGUAGGCUGGUUUUCCAGGCAAAUCCGGAAAAUCAAGGCUGAGGCGUGAUGACGAGGCACUACGGUGCUGAAGCAACAAAUGCCCUGCUUCCAGGAAAAGCCUCUAAGCAUCAGGUAACAUCAAAUCGUACCCCAAACCGACACAGGUGGUCAGGUAGAGAAUACCAAGGCGCUUGAGAGAACUCGGGUGAAGGAACUAGGCAAAAUGGUGCCGUAACUUCGGGAGAAGGCACGCUGAUAUGUAGGUGAAGUCCCUCGCGGAUGGAGCUGAAAUCAGUCGAAGAUACCAGCUGGCUGCAACUGUUUAUUAAAAACACAGCACUGUGCAAACACGAAAGUGGACGUAUACGGUGUGACGCCUGCCCGGUGCCGGAAGGUUAAUUGAUGGGGUCAGCGCAAGCGAAGCUCUUGAUCGAAGCCCCGGUAAACGGCGGCCGUAACUAUAACGGUCCUAAGGUAGCGAAAUUCCUUGUCGGGUAAGUUCCGACCUGCACGAAUGGCGUAAUGAUGGCCAGGCUGUCUCCACCCGAGACUCAGUGAAAUUGAACUCGCUGUGAAGAUGCAGUGUACCCGCGGCAAGACGGAAAGACCCCGUGAACCUUUACUAUAGCUUGACACUGAACAUUGAGCCUUGAUGUGUAGGAUAGGUGGGAGGCUUUGAAGUGUGGACGCCAGUCUGCAUGGAGCCGACCUUGAAAUACCACCCUUUAAUGUUUGAUGUUCUAACGUGGACCCGUGAUCCGGGUUGCGGACAGUGUCUGGUGGGUAGUUUGACUGGGGCGGUCUCCUCCUAAAGAGUAACGGAGGAGCACGAAGGUUGGCUAAUCCUGGUCGGACAUCAGGAGGUUAGUGCAAUGGCAUAAGCCAGCUUGACUGCGAGCGUGACGGCGCGAGCAGGUGCGAAAGCAGGUCAUAGUGAUCCGGUGGUUCUGAAUGGAAGGGCCAUCGCUCAACGGAUAAAAGGUACUCCGGGGAUAACAGGCUGAUACCGCCCAAGAGUUCAUAUCGACGGCGGUGUUUGGCACCUCGAUGUCGGCUCAUCACAUCCUGGGGCUGAAGUAGGUCCCAAGGGUAUGGCUGUUCGCCAUUUAAAGUGGUACGCGAGCUGGGUUUAGAACGUCGUGAGACAGUUCGGUCCCUAUCUGCCGUGGGCGCUGGAGAACUGAGGGGGGCUGCUCCUAGUACGAGAGGACCGGAGUGGACGCAUCACUGGUGUUCGGGUUGUCAUGCCAAUGGCACUGCCCGGUAGCUAAAUGCGGAAGAGAUAAGUGCUGAAAGCAUCUAAGCACGAAACUUGCCCCGAGAUGAGUUCUCCCUGACCCUUUAAGGGUCCUGAAGGAACGUUGAAGACGACGACGUUGAUAGGCCGGGUGUGUAAGCGCAGCGAUGCGUUGAGCUAACCGGUACUAAUGAACCGUGAGGCUUAACCUUACAACGCCGAAGGUGUUU